Small nucleolar RNA from Thalassophryne amazonica, 126 nucleotides. RefSeq annotates it as small nucleolar RNA SNORD22. The record is from RefSeq and is a predicted model, not a curated record. Lineage: Eukaryota; Metazoa; Chordata; Actinopteri; Batrachoidiformes; Batrachoididae. The transcript has a single exon.
CCUUCAUGAUGAUAACCGCACAUGUCUUACGCCUUGGGCCAAUGUCAGACCUGAAAAGGUGAACCCACUGGCAUUGCCUUGGCAACGAGGGGAAGACCUGUUGGGGUUUCCAACAGUCUGAAUGGA